GUAGCCGGCCGGAUAAGUCUCUUGGGAAAUCUGGCAGCUUAACUGUCAGGCUUUCAGGGGAUACUGUCUGGCUCGAGGCCGGGAGAGGUGAGAGGUACUUCAGGGGUAGGGGUGAAAUCUUGUAAUCCUUGAAGGACCACCAGUGGCGAACGCGUCUCACCAGAACGGACCUGACGGCAAGGGACGAAAGCUAGGGGCACGAACCGGAUUAGAUACCCGGGUAGUCCUAGCCGUAAACGAUACUCGCUAGGUGUCGGCCACGGUGCGACCGUUGUCGGUGCCGUA
RNAcentral lists this ribosomal RNA (285 nucleotides) under uncultured archaeon SYA_2000_5. RNAcentral describes it as "partial 16S ribosomal RNA". It matches the Rfam family "Archaeal small subunit ribosomal RNA", at positions 521 to 805 of the family's 1478-position model. The record is from RNAcentral.